AUUARAUAUCUUAUUCUUGAAAAUUUAUGUGUUAAACUAGGAUUAGAUACCCUAUUAUUGUAAUGUAUAGUUUAUAAAUGCCUAGGUAGUAUUAGUUAUGGUCUUGAAACUUAAAAAAUUUGGCGGUAUUUUAGUCCAUUUAGAGGAACCUGUCAUGUAAUCGAUGGUCCACGUUGAACCUUACUUUUCUUUGUUUUUCAAUUUGUAUACCGCCGUUAUUGAAUAUUUUAUAAGAACAAUAAUUUUCAAUUUUUUUAAAGUAGAAAUUAAUAUCAGGUCAAGGUGCAGUUUAUGGAUAAGUAUAGAUGGGUUACAAUAAUUUUUAUUUUGGAUAUUUAAUUUAAAUGUUAAAUUGAAAUUGGAUUUAUUAGUAAGUUUUGUAGAU
Molecule: ribosomal RNA, 385 nt
Filed under: Stichopogon barbistrellus
Lineage: Eukaryota; Metazoa; Arthropoda; Insecta; Diptera; Asilidae
Description: partial small subunit ribosomal RNA
Source: RNAcentral